CCUACGGGAGGCAGCAGUGGGGGAUAUUGCACAAUGGGCGAAACUCUGAUGCAGCGACGCCGCGUGAGUGAAGAAGUAUUUCUGUAUGGAAAGCUCUAUCAGCAGGGAAGAAAAUGACAGUACCUGACCAAUAAGCCCCGGCUAACUACGUGCCAGCAGCCGCGGCAAUACGUAGGCGGCAAGCGUUAUCCGGAUUUACUGGGUGUAAAGGGAGCGUAGACGGUUAUGUAAGUCUGGAGUGAAAGCCUGGGGCCCAACCCCGGAACUGCUUUGGAAACUGUGUAACUGGAGUACAGGAGGGGCAGGCGGAAUUCCUGGUGUAGCGGUGAAAUGCGUAGAUAUCAGGAGGAACACCGGCGGCGAAGGCGGCCUGCUGGACUGAAACUGACGUUGAGGCUCGAAAGCGUGGGGAGCAAACAGGAUUAGAUACCCGUGUAGUC
This 440-nucleotide ribosomal RNA is filed under the name uncultured bacterium. RNAcentral's name for it is "partial 16S ribosomal RNA". It matches the Rfam family "Bacterial small subunit ribosomal RNA", at positions 338 to 795 of the family's 1533-position model. The record is from RNAcentral.